UACGUAGGUGGCAAGCGUUGUCCGGAUUUAUUGGGCGUAAAGAGCUCGUAGGCGGUCUGUCGCGUCUGCUGUGAAAUCCCAGGGCUUAACCCUGGGCCUGCAGUGGGUACGGGCAGACUAGAGUGCGGUAGGGGAGAUCGGAAUUCCUGGUGUAGCGGUGAAAUGCGCAGAUAUCAGGAGGAACACCGAUGGCGAAGGCAGAUCUCUGGGCCGUAACUGACGCUGAGGAGCGAAAGCAUGGGGAGCGAACAGG
Molecule: ribosomal RNA, 253 nt
Filed under: uncultured bacterium
Lineage: Bacteria
Description: partial 16S ribosomal RNA
Rfam family: Bacterial small subunit ribosomal RNA
Source: RNAcentral